GCUGGGCGUGGUGGCGUGUGCCUGUAAUCCCAGCUACUCAGGAAGCCGAGGCAGGAGAAUCGCUUGAACUCAGGAGUUGGAGGUUGCAGUAAGCCAAGAUCGCACCACUGCACUCCAGCCUGGGUGACAGAGCGAGACUCUGUCUCAA
Molecule: unclassified non-coding RNA, 148 nt
Organism: Papio anubis (olive baboon)
Lineage: Eukaryota; Metazoa; Chordata; Mammalia; Primates; Cercopithecidae
Rfam family: Metazoan signal recognition particle RNA
About the family: The signal recognition particle (SRP) is a universally conserved ribonucleoprotein. It is involved in the co-translational targeting of proteins to membranes.
Source: Ensembl